ACUGUGAAGGACAGAAAGAAACUGUUCAUCCUUUUCCUUGAUCAACAUUGAUACUGCAUGUGCAAAAUUUGAGAGAAGGCUCACGUGAAGAAUUUCAAAUGAGU
Etheostoma spectabile (orangethroat darter) is the source of this 104-nucleotide long non-coding RNA. RefSeq lists it as uncharacterized. The record is from RefSeq and is a predicted model, not a curated record. NCBI's taxonomy places the organism in Eukaryota, Metazoa, Chordata, Actinopteri, Perciformes, Percidae. The transcript is spliced from 3 exons.